AUUGAACGCUGGCGGCAGGCCUAACACAUGCAAGUCGAGCGGAUGAAGGGAGCUUGCUCCUGGAUUCAGCGGCGGACGGGUGAGUAAUGCCUAGGAAUCUGCCUGGGAGUGGGGGAUAACGUCCGGAAACGGGCGCUAAUACCGCAUACGUCCUGAGGGAGAAAGUGGGGGAUCUUCGGACCUCACGCUAUCAGAUGAGCCUAGGUCGGAUUAGCUAGUUGGUGGGGUAAAGGCCUACCAAGGCGACGAUCCGUAACUGGUCUGAGAGGAUGAUCAGUCACACUGGAACUGAGACACGGUCCAGACUCCUACGGGAGGCAGCAGUGGGGAAUAUGGGACAAUGGGAAAGCCUGAUCCAGCCAUGCCGCGUGUGUGAAGAAGGUCUUCGGAUUGUAAAGAACUUUAAGUUGGGAGGAAGGGCAGUAAGUUAAUACCUUGCUGUUUUGACGUUACCAACAGAAUAAGCACCGGCUAACUUCGUG
This 482-nucleotide ribosomal RNA is filed under the name uncultured bacterium. RNAcentral's name for it is "partial 16S ribosomal RNA". It matches the Rfam family "Bacterial small subunit ribosomal RNA", at positions 30 to 507 of the family's 1533-position model. The record is from RNAcentral.